Molecule: unclassified non-coding RNA, 352 nt
Filed under: soil metagenome
Description: partial contains 5.8S ribosomal RNA, internal transcribed spacer 2, and large subunit ribosomal RNA
Rfam family: 5.8S ribosomal RNA (bases 1-120)
Source: RNAcentral
GAUGAAGAACGUAGCGAAAUGCGAUAAGUAAUGUGAAUUGCAGAAUUCAGUGAAUCAUCGAAUCUUUGAACGCACAUUGCGCCCGCCAGUAUUCUGGCGGGCAUGCCUGUUCGAGCGUCAUUACAACCCUCAGACCCCCGGGCCUGGCGUUGGGGAUCGGCGGAAGCCCCCUGUGGGCACACGCCGUCCCUCAAAUACAGUGGCGGUCCCGCCGCAGCUUCCAUUGCGUAGUAGCUAACACCUCGCAACUGGAGAGCGGCGCGGCCAUGCCGUAAAACACCCAACUUCUGAAUGUUGACCUCGAAUCAGGUAGGAAUACCCGCUGAACUUAAGCAUAUCAAUAAGCGGAGGA